GUGGGGAAUAUUGCGCAAUGGGGGAAACCCUGACGCAGCAACGCCGCGUGAAGGAUGAAGGUUUUCGGAUUGUAAACUUCUUUGACGAGGGACGAAUAAAUGACGGUACCUCGAAAACAAGCCACGGCUAACUACGUGCCAGCAGCCGCGGUAAUACGUAGGUGGCGAGCGUUGUCCGGAUUUACUGGGUGUAAAGGGCGUGUAGGCGGGACUGCAAGUCAGAUGUGAAAUCUGUGGGCUUAACUCACAAACUGCAUUUGAAACUGUGGUUCUUGAGUGAUGGAGAGGCAGGCGGAAUUCCGUGUGUAGCGGUGAAAUGCGUAGAUAUACGGAGGAACACCAGUGGCGAAGGCGGCCUGCUGGACAUUAACUGACGCUGAGGCGCGAAAGCGUGGGGAGCAAACAGGAUUAGAAACCCUGGUAGUCC
RNAcentral lists this ribosomal RNA (427 nucleotides) under uncultured bacterium. RNAcentral describes it as "partial 16S ribosomal RNA". It matches the Rfam family "Bacterial small subunit ribosomal RNA", at positions 354 to 796 of the family's 1533-position model. The record is from RNAcentral.